UGGACCGCUGCUGGAAGUACUGCAGUUAGGUGAGCUGGAGUAAGUUAUUACCCUUGUCUUGAGCGCACUUGUUGUUUCCUGGGCGGGUUCGCUCGCCACCAGGACCACAAUAUAAACCUUUUUUAUGCAGUUGCAAUCAGCGUCAGUAUAACAAAUGUAAAUCAUUUACAACUUUCAACAACGGAUCUCUUGGUUCUGGCAUCGAUGAAGAACGCAGCGAAAUGCGAUACGUAGUGUGAAUUGCAGAAUUCAGUGAAUCAUCGAAUCUUUGAACGCACAUUGCGCCCUUUGGUAUUCCAAAGGGCAUGCCUGUUCGAGCGUCAUUUGUACCCUCAAGCUUUGCUUGGUGUUGGGCGUUUUUGUCUUUGGCCCGCCAAAGACUCGCCUUAAAAUGAUUGGCAGCCGGCCUACUGGUUUCGCAGCGCAGCACAUUUUUGCGCUUGCAAUCAGCAAAAGAGGACGGCAAUCCAUCAAGACUCCUUCUCACGUUUGACCUCGGAUCAGGUAGGGAUACCCGCUGAACUUAAGCAUAUCAAUAAGCGGAGGAAAC
This 550-nucleotide ribosomal RNA is filed under the name Curvularia spicifera. RNAcentral describes it as "eukaryotic LSU rRNA". The stretch from base 170 to 323 matches the Rfam family "5.8S ribosomal RNA". Lineage: Eukaryota; Fungi; Ascomycota; Dothideomycetes; Pleosporales; Pleosporaceae. The record is from RNAcentral.